RNAcentral lists this ribosomal RNA (253 nucleotides) under uncultured bacterium. RNAcentral's name for it is "partial 16S ribosomal RNA". It matches the Rfam family "Bacterial small subunit ribosomal RNA", at positions 524 to 776 of the family's 1533-position model. The record is from RNAcentral.
UACAGAGGUCUCAAGCGUUGUUCGGAUUCAUUGGGCGUAAAGGGUGCGUAGGCGGCGCGGUAAGUCGGGUGUGAAAUCUCGGAGCUUAACUCCGAAACUGCAUUCGAUACUGCCGUGCUUGAGGACUGGAGAGGAGACUGGAAUUUACGGUGUAGCGGUGAAAUGCGUAGAUAUCGUAAGGAAGACCAGUGGCGAAGGCGGGUCUCUGGACAGUUCCUGACGCUGAGGCACGAAAGCUGGGGGAGCAAACGGG